GAUGAACGCUGGCGGCGUGCCUAAUACAUGCAAGUCGAGCGAACAGACGAUGAGCUUGCUCCUCUGACGUUAGCGGCGGACGGGUGAGUAACACGUGGAUAACCUACCUAUAAGACUGGGAUAACUUCGGGAAACCGGAGCUAAUACCGGAUAAUAUAUUGAACCGCAUGGUUCAAUAGUGAAAGACGGUUUUGCUGUCACUUAUAGAUGGAUCCGCGCCGCAUUAGCUAGUUGGUAAGGUAACGGCUUACCAAGGCAACGAUGCGUAGCCGACCUGAGAGGGUGAUCGGCCACACUGGAACUGAGACACGGUCCAGACUCCUACGGGAGGCAGCAGUAGGGAAUCUUCCGCAAUGGGCGAAAGCCUGACGGAGCAACGCCGCGUGAGUGAUGAAGGUCUUCGGAUCGUAAAACUCUGUUAUUAGGGAAGAACAAAUGUGUAAGUAACUAUGCACGUCUUGACGGUACCUAAUCAGAAAGCCACGGCUAACUACGUG
Molecule: ribosomal RNA, 497 nt
Filed under: uncultured bacterium
Lineage: Bacteria
Description: partial 16S ribosomal RNA
Rfam family: Bacterial small subunit ribosomal RNA
Source: RNAcentral